This 480-nucleotide ribosomal RNA is filed under the name uncultured bacterium. RNAcentral describes it as "partial 16S ribosomal RNA". It matches the Rfam family "Bacterial small subunit ribosomal RNA", at positions 28 to 507 of the family's 1533-position model. The record is from RNAcentral.
GGCGAACGCUGGCGGCGCGCCUAACACAUGCAAGUCGAGCGAUGAAAUUUUAACCGCUCUCUUCGGAGAGAAGAUAAAAUGGAUUAGCGGCGGACGGGUGAGUAACACGUGAGAAACCUGCCUUUCACAAGGGGAUAGCCUCGGGACACCGGGAUUAAUACCCUCUGACACAUUUCCUUCGCAUGGAAGAAAUGUUAAAACUUCGGUGGUGAACGUUGGUCGCGCGCCUGAUUAGCUAGUUGGUGGGGUAACGGCCCACCAAGGCCUGGCCCAGUAACCUGGCAGAGAGGGUGAACGGUCACAGUGGAACUGAGACACGGUACAAACUCCUACGGGAGGCAGCAGUGGGGAAUAUUGCACAAUGGAGGAAACUCUGAUGCAGCGACGCCGCGUGAGCGAUGAAGGCUUUCGAGUCGUAAAGCUCUGUCCUAUGGGAAGAUAAUGACGGUACCAUAGGAGGAAGCCCCGGCUAACUACGUG